This is a long non-coding RNA of Frieseomelitta varia, 4003 nucleotides long. RefSeq lists it as uncharacterized. The record is from RefSeq and is a predicted model, not a curated record. NCBI's taxonomy places the organism in Eukaryota, Metazoa, Arthropoda, Insecta, Hymenoptera, Apidae. The transcript has 2 exons.
CGUCGAAAUUAUUAUUCACGUAAGUGUGAGGACAUCCCGAGAGGCUGGAAGAUAGUGAAACUGGACCUUUUAAUUUUUCAACUCGAUUAAAAGCUUGAUUCGGUUGAUGAACGUGGAUUAGAUUCGUCAUAAAUGGAACGGUUUUUAAUCAAACUUUAAUCUAUCGGGUUUCAACGUCGCGGAAUUAAUUUAACAUUCAUUAAUUACAUGAAUAAAUAUUAAAUGUUGAACAGAUAGCAGGAAGUCGAGAGAGAGAGAGAGAGAGAGAGAGAGUAAGCGUGCCACUCUCGUUCCCAUUGCAAUAAACUCGUUUAGAGGAAUCCGGCCCCCCCCCCCCCCCGGCCCCUACGCCCCUAUAAACGCAUCGAUUCUCGAUAAACAAAUUAACAGAAAUUAAAACGCGAACGAAUGGAAAUUAAAUCAGCGAAGACGUUUCUAUUUAAUUUGCGGGAUACGCGUACGUAUAUUCUAUACCGUAAUUACUUUUCUCCAUUUAAUAAUUGCCGCGAGGGGCCGACGCUUUACCCCAUAAAGAAUCGGCGAGGUUUAUUUCAUUAUCGAUAUUGGAUAUCUAAGGAAUAAAUUGAUUGAAGGGUAAAUAAUAUUUGAUCACGUAAUGUUUAUUUACGGCGAAUAUCCUCAAAGGAUAGUUCUCUCAACACGUUGUCAAUUCGAUUUCUUUCCAACGGUCCACUUUGUAUUUCGCUUUGAGGCAAAUUAGGUAAAUUAAUGAACAACGAUGAUAUCAAACGUAUCUUCGUUUAUUUGUCAUUACUGUUGUUGUUACGAUUACAAUUUGCUUUCUACGAUUUUUUAAAGCGCGAUAAUUCCUUAAACUCGGUUUCCCAACUUCAUUCCCUGGGAUAUUAACUCUGCUUCUAUUUUUCGCUCGGUUCGCUGAAUUUUGGAGCGAAAGAAAGCAACAAAGUUUCAGCGUUCAGAAACGGGACAACCUUUAGAAAUUUAUCCGGUCGUCUAAGUAAUCUUUGAAACGCGAGCGAAAGCGAAAUCAUUGUACCCUGGUACUCGCGACGAGGAGUUUGAAAAACUUUUUAGCCACAUUCACCGCGGCCUGCUGACUCGCAGUUAGAAAUUAGCAGUGUCUUAAUUCCUUGAUAUCGACAGUUGGAUGGUAAAGACUGUUGGUUUCUCCGAUGAAAAGGGGAGUCGACAAACAAGCUCGUCGUCCCCGUCACCUGACUUCCGCAAAAGCGAACGUUGCGAAAGCUAAGGAUACCAGGAACGACGGACGACGCCGGACGACGUUCGUCGAUCCUUUUAUGCACUCGUCGCACAUUUUGGUCAUCGGACGUCCGUCGGCUGGGCAAUUAUCGAAGGGAGAUAUGCAGACUCGCACUUUUACAGUACUUAGUAAGCAUCUCGUUCAAAGUCCACGAAUGCUCGUUGCAGGUCGCCUCGUAGCGAGCGUCGAGCCGUUUCGAAAUUUUCGCGAGACUCGCCGCGAUCGAUCGCUCGACGCGCGAUAACGAGGAAAGUUAUUACAUCCUCUCUGAUCGGUCGGUCGGGCAGGAAAUCUGGGAGGAUGGGCUUAAAUUUUUGGUAGGGGAUAUAAUUCGUUCGAUAUAAUUAGGGACAAUUUGUUGACACUUAGAACUGACAAUUAGCGUGCCUUUUUUAGGUUGGGAAAUUUUAGGAAAAUAUUAGAGUAUAUUGAUGAAUCGUUGGUGUUUCUCGGUAUAGUGAAACUUAAAGAUUAAUGCGAAGAAGAGUCGGCGACGGAUAGCGAGUGAGUGAAGUUUUUCUUCCGUAGAAACGAACAACUGAAUCUAGAUUAGGAAAGUCUGCUGUGAUUUGAUAAUACGUGAAUAUGUUAUCGAGGACGGAUGAUAGUUGAUUUAAUUUCAUUCUAUUGAGACGAGGUUCUCGCGGUUAAUUCGUAGUUAUAUAUAACGAGACGUUACGCACGGUGGGGCAAAUUUAACGUAACCAAGUGGCAAUUAGCUCGAACAAGUGCAAACUUUAUCGUUUGUUCAAAUUAACAAAGUGACAAUUUGGGCCUCGUGUUCGUGCUCUGAUCUGACAACGAAACAAAACGACACGACUGCUCCUAUUAUUCGCAAAAUAUCUUUAUAUAUAUACAUAUAUAUAUAUAUGAAGAAUCACUGGAAAUUUCUUCGUCUCUUGUAACACGUGCGAACGAAUUGAAUCAAUGGAGCGGCAAUUCCACUUGUCGCGCAUUCUUCCCCUAAUUCUCAUAUUCUUUCGUAACAAAAGGAGACAAUCGGUCUUCUUCUGGUUCUGUCGACGAGCCUCGAUCGCCGCAUUCACUCCUCGGUUCGUUCUUUCUCGUUUGCUCCGGAUACCCGCAGAACAGACACGUAUACAUGCACACACACACACACACACACAUACACACGCAGACAGAAACACACACGCGCGCGUAAAUACAUAGGGCUGACAAUGAGAGACACGUAUAUACAGAUACACGCAGGAACGUACAAGACAACACGAGCAAUGCAGUGUUCAAAUACCUUGAAAGCCACCCUGUAGAUCGGAAUCUCGCAUAGUACUAAACAGAUUGUAUAACACUUUAACUAAGCUUUCCGUAACGAUAAAUACAGAAGAAAUGAGCGAAAGGGAAACGAGAGAAAGAGCGAGCGCGCGAGUUACACAGUGAGAGAGAGAAAGAAUGAGAAUGAAAGUGAGAGAUAGAAAGAAAGAGAAAAGAAGGGUGAAAAUGUAAUACGAGUGAAUAAGAAAGAAAGAGAGAAAGAGAGAGAGAGAGAGAGAGAAAAAAUAAGGUAACACACACGAAAAAAAAAAAAAAAGAUGAAAGCUUGAGACGAGAGGAACCUACGAAUUGUUAUGUUUUCUACAGUAACGUUUGUACCGACUUACAACAAUAUUUGUACAAUAUACGAUAAUGGAAAAAUGAAGUUACGUACCUAUACAACAUAGGUUAUCCAGAUGCAAUAACUUUUUUAAACGGUAUUUAAUGAAAUGAAGAGAGAAAAGAGAGAAAGAGAGCGAGAGAGCGAGCGAGCGAGCGAGCGAGAGAGAGAGAGAGAGAAGAAGAAGAAAGAAAAAAAAAUACCAAGCCGGGAUAUUUUUCAUACUUGUAACGAAGUCAAGCGGGCCGGAGGCCCGCGUGAUGCCACAUCGUUUCGUUUUUGUGUGCCAACCAAGAGAUUUUAGAUUUUUUUUUCCUGUUUUUUUUUUUUCUUUUUUCUUUGCUUUGCAGAUGAUGCGCGACACGCGCGCGACCCGCGUCCCCGAAUCUCUCGGUCGCCAACUUAUAUACUCACUUACACACACACACACACAGACACACACACACACACACACACACACACACGAUGUCCAUCGUUGGUUGCUCGAAUACGCGUUCGAGCUGCGAUCUCGGUGAAAAAAAGAAAAAGAGAAAAGAAAAAAGAAGAAAGGAAAAGGAAAAAUUUGGCGAUGUUGUUGAUAGCGAAAUCGAGACAGUUCGGUGAACAUUUAUGUUAUUUCUUUUUUUCUUUUUUUCUUUGGCGCAAAUCCACGCAAAGAGAUGUUUAGAACGCGAAAUGGAAACGGGACACGACGGUUGAUUUUCGGCCGCGAGAUUUCCUUUCGAUGGAGCUUGUCGGUCGCAGCUUGCGCGUGUUUUUUGGCGGCGUGUAAUGUGGUUUGAUAAAAUGGUUGCGACAGCGAAGAGAGAAAAAGGAAAGAGAGAGAGAGAGAGAGAGAGAGAGAAAGAGAGAGAGAGAGAGAGAGACAGAAAAAGCAAUGUUCGAGGCGAUACACGCGUAAUCGUUGUGACGCGAUUAAUAAUCAUCAAGAUCUCUCUUCUCGUUUUUGAGAAAAUGAAACCGGAGAGAAAGACUUGUCCGUAAACUAAACUUCACCAUGUUGACACGCGUUCUUGAUCAUUAUGGGUACUACCGCCUUGUUUUGUGUAAAAUGACGUUUUUCUGUUUCGGUUCUUAGGCGAACGAAUGCAUAUCAUAGUUGUAAAUUAACGAUUUGUGAAAUAAAAGCUGCAAACUGUUUGUGUUAACAA